RNAcentral lists this ribosomal RNA (497 nucleotides) under uncultured bacterium. RNAcentral describes it as "partial 16S ribosomal RNA". It matches the Rfam family "Bacterial small subunit ribosomal RNA", at positions 28 to 507 of the family's 1533-position model. The record is from RNAcentral.
GAUGAACGCUGGCGGCGUGCCUAAUACAUGCAAGUCGAGCGAACGGACGAGAAGCUUGCUGCUCUGAUGUUAGCGGCGGACGGGUGAGUAACACGUGGAUAACCUACCUAUAAGACUGGGAUAACUUCGGGAAACCGGCGCUAAUACCGGAUAAUAUUUUGAACCGCAUGGUUCAAAAGUGAAAGACGGUCUUGCUGUCACUUAUAGAUGGAUCCGCGCUGCAUUAGCUAGUUGGUAAGGUAACGGCUUACCAAGGCAACGAUGCAUAGCCGACCUGAGAGGGUGAUCGGCCACACUGGAACUGAGACACGGUCCAGACUCCUACGGGAGGCCGCAGUAGGGAAUCGUCCGCAAUGGGCGAAAGCCUGACGGAGCAACGCCGCGUGAGUGAUGAAGGUCUUCGGAGCGUAAAACUCUGUUAUUAGGGAAGAACAUAUGUGUAAGUAACUGUGCACAGCUUGACGGUACCUAAUCAGAAAGCCACGGCUAACUACGUG